This 65-nucleotide transfer RNA is filed under the name Scyllarides latus (Mediterranean slipper lobster). RNAcentral's name for it is "tRNA-Gly". Lineage: Eukaryota; Metazoa; Arthropoda; Malacostraca; Decapoda; Scyllaridae. The record is from RNAcentral.
AUCUUUUUAGUAUAAUAUGUACACUUGGCUUCCAACCAAAAAGUCUAACCUAAUUAGAAAAGAUA